RNAcentral lists this small RNA (274 nucleotides) under synthetic construct. The record is from RNAcentral.
GGACCGAGAAGUUACCCAAUAUGGUCGACUUCGAAUCGAAGAGAAAUAGGUCCCGGGAAGCGCGAGGCUCUUACCCCGUCGGUUUGUAAUUGCCUUCGGAUACUGUUCAGAAGACAUCACAUUGAGAUUUCCCCGCUGUAAUAUAUAGCCCUGCUCAGUCAACCCUUAUAGCUGCUGGCACCGGCAGAGGAAAUGUUGGACUUACCAGUGAGACCGUCGUCAUACACUUGUACAGGAUGGCCUUAAGCGGGGUACGGACGCACAUCGCAGCAAC